Molecule: transfer RNA, 72 nt
Filed under: Cordylochernes scorpioides
Lineage: Eukaryota; Metazoa; Arthropoda; Arachnida; Pseudoscorpiones; Chernetidae
Description: tRNA-Phe
Rfam family: tRNA
About the family: Transfer RNA (tRNA) molecules are approximately 80 nucleotides in length.
Source: RNAcentral
GCCGAAUUAGCUCAGUCGUGAGAGCGUUAGACUGAAGAUCUAAAGGUCGUGGUUCGAUCCCGGGUUUUGGCA